RNAcentral lists this ribosomal RNA (303 nucleotides) under uncultured bacterium. RNAcentral's name for it is "partial 16S ribosomal RNA". It matches the Rfam family "Bacterial small subunit ribosomal RNA", at positions 507 to 807 of the family's 1533-position model. The record is from RNAcentral.
AGCAGUCGCCACGGGAAUACGAAGGGGGCUAGCGUUGUUCGGAUUUACUGGGCGUAAAGCGCACGUAGGCGGAUUCUUAAGUCAGAGGUGAAAUCCCAAGGCUCAACCUUGGAACUGCCUUUGAUACUGGGGAUCUUGAGUUCGGGAGAGGUGAGUGGAACUGCGAGUGUAGAGGUGAAAUUCGUAGAUAUUCGCAAGAACACCAGUGGCGAAGGCGGCUCACUGGCCCGAUACUGACGCUGAGGUGCGAAAGCGUGGGGAGCAAACAGGAUUAGAUACCCGUGUAGUCCCUGUCUCUUAUAC